AGUAACGGCGAGUGAAGCGGCAACAGCUCAAAUUUGAAAUCUGGCCCCCAGGGCCCGAGUUGUAAUUUGCAGAGGAUGCUUUUGGCGCGGUGCCUUCCGAGUUCCCUGGAACGGGACGCCAUAGAGGGUGAGAGCCCCGUCUGGUCGGACACCAAGCCAGUGUAAAGCUCCUUCGACGAGUCGAGUAGUUUGGGAAUGCUGCUCUAAAUGGGAGGUAUAUGUCUUCUAAAGCUAAAUACCGGCCAGAGACCGAUAGCGCACAAGUAGAGUGAUCGAAAGAUGAAAAGCACUUUGAAAAGAGGGUUAAACAGUACGUGAAAUUGUUGAAAGGGAAGCGUUUAUGACCAGACUUGGGCCCGGUGAAUCAUCCAGCGUUCUCGCUGGUGCACUUUGCCGGGCUCAGGCCAGCAUCAGUUCGUCGCGGGGGACAAAAGCUUCGGGAACGUGGCUCCCUCGGGAGUGUUAUAGCCCGUUGCAUAAUACCCUGCGGUGGACUGAGGUUCGCGCUCCGCAAGGAUGCUGGCGUAAUGGUCAUCAGCGACCCGUCUUGAAACACGGACCAAGGAGUCGUCUUCGUAUGCGAGUGUUCGGGUGUCAAACCCCUACGCGUAAUGAAAGUGAACGCAGGUGAGAGCUUCGGCGCAUCAUCGACCGAUCCUGAUGUUCUCGGAUGGAUUUGAGUAAGAGCAUACGGGGCCGGACCCGAAAGAAGGUGAACUAUGCCUGUAUAGGGUGAAGCCAGAGGAAACUCUGGUGGAGGCUCGCAGCGGUUCUGACGUGCAAAUCGAUCGUCAAAUAUGGGCAUGGGGG
RNAcentral lists this ribosomal RNA (810 nucleotides) under Tolypocladium endophyticum. RNAcentral describes it as "eukaryotic LSU rRNA". It matches the Rfam family "Eukaryotic large subunit ribosomal RNA", at positions 82 to 923 of the family's 3401-position model. Lineage: Eukaryota; Fungi; Ascomycota; Sordariomycetes; Hypocreales; Ophiocordycipitaceae. The record is from RNAcentral.